Molecule: ribosomal RNA, 306 nt
Filed under: Alphaproteobacteria bacterium
Lineage: Bacteria; Pseudomonadati; Pseudomonadota; Alphaproteobacteria
Description: partial 16S ribosomal RNA
Rfam family: Bacterial small subunit ribosomal RNA
Source: RNAcentral
CAGGUGSUGCAUGGCUGUCGUCAGCUCGUGUCGUGAGAUGUUGGGUUAAGUCCCGCAACGAGCGCAACCCUCGCCCUUAGUUGCCAGCAUUCAGUUGGGCACUCUAGGGGGACUGCCGGUGAUAARCCGAGAGGAAGGUGGGGAUGACGUCAAGUCUUCAUGGCCCUAWCGGGUUGGSYUACACACGUGYUCCAAUGGCGGUGACAGUGGYCAGGGAACUSSGGAGAGGGACMUAUUCUCCAAAARCGGUCUCAGUUCGGAUUGUWSUCUGCAACUCGAGARCAUGAAGYUGGAAUCGCUAGUAAU